Molecule: RNA transcript, 2410 nt
Organism: Scylla paramamosain (green mud crab)
Lineage: Eukaryota; Metazoa; Arthropoda; Malacostraca; Decapoda; Portunidae
Exons: 5
Source: RefSeq, a predicted model, not a curated record
GGGGGAGUGGGGAGCAUGCCUGCUGCUGCCGUCCUGGCGACUUGUCGAUGCUGCUUGUUGUUGUUGUAUUUGUAUUUGUUGUUGUUGUUGUUGUGUGUGUGUGUGUGUGUGUGUGUGUGUGUGUGUGUGUGUGUGUGUGUGUGUGUUUGUUUUUUUGUUUGUUUCCCAGAGGCUCUCAUACCACUUCUUCCCUCACUACCCUCCCUAUCCUCACCCAUCUAGCAGGCCAACCCCACUGUCUCUUAUGUCCUUACGGAAUUACCGUGUUUUGGAAUUUCGUUGUACCCAAUUUAAUGGUUUUCCUGUCUCGCAUCCAUACUCUUCGCCUUCAGACUCGCUGUCACUGUAUUGUAAACAGUGUCACAUGGCCUUUGUAGCCUGGCAGAUCCUCUUUUGGAACAUUAGAGUUACAAUUACCACCCAAUGGAGGUGAAAUCAGUAGGUCCUGGCGUUUCUCCACCUUGUAGGAGGGAUAUGUUCACGAAUAAAAUGAGUAUAUUAGUAGGAGCAAGAAGAGGAAGAAGAAAUAAGUAGAGGAGGUAAAGAAAGAAAAUACAAUGCAAAGAUAAAUAUAAUUUAAGUAAACUCUCCACCUUGUCAGUUCUUGAAUGUAAUAUGGUAAUGGAAAUAGGAAGAAAUAAGUAAUGGUGGAGGUAAAGGAAAAAAAAAACGAUGUAAAAUUAAAUGUAAUGAAAGUAACAUUAAAAAUACACCCGAAAUAGCAAUAAUUAAUAGUAAAAUUUUAAAUGUAGGUAACCAUCCCAUGAUAUAGACUGGACUGAGCACGGCAGUUCCGCCAUGUGUCUGAAGAGCAAAUAGGGGUAGGAGUGAAGAAAUCAAGCAAUUUUCAACUGUAAUUGUGUGUAAAUAGUUAGUAUCUCCUGAUGGAGUGACAGUAGGAGUGCAGCGGUGGUAAUAGUAAUAGUAGUAGUAGUAGUAGUAGCAGUGGUGGUGGUAGUGGAAUGGUAUAAGUGAGGUAAUAGGAAAAUAGUUGUUGUGCCUGUCUCUGCAUCGGUAGGAAUUAAGGGAAAUUUCAUUUGUUGGUUUAUUUCUAUGUUGGUAUUAUGGUCUCGGUAUUUGGCGUAGCCCUUUAUGGAAGCUACAACAUGGGACAGUGUUAAAUUUGUACUCUUUCACCAGUCUUUUGCAGACUUUUUUUUUCUGUUAGUUCUCGGCCUAUUGAAUGAAUCUGCAUGUUGUUUCUUUCAAAAAAUCAUUAGUUUUUAUUUAUUACACCCUUAAGAAACUAAUGGAAUGAAAAUGAAAAACAGAUUAAUGGAAAAGAGACUUAAAUCUACCAGAAUAAAAUUGUUUUGUCGACAGAAAUUAGUAACACUGCAAUGUUUCCCUCCAAGACGACUGGCUACCGCAUGCCCGUGACCGCCAGCUGGCUGUCACAAGUCACCACCCAACCCAAUAGGUGAGGAGCAGCACCAGCAGCAGCAGCAGCAGCAUGGCAGAGCAGAGGCCCAGGGAGGGGAGCCAACGAAGGCAGAAGGCUGUGUGCUUGUCAAGUUUGUCACUAAAAAGGACCAGUUCGGACCCCUGAGACCUGCCCAAGUUUGUGGUGGAGGGGCAGCUGGUGAUUGGAAAACUUUGGGAUUGACCAAAGAGUAGAGGGAGGAGCCUGGAGGGACCCAGUCUCUGAGAGUGAUACAUCAGAACCCGCAAAGAAAUGGAAGAGAGUUGUCUGAAACAUGACAGAAAAGAAAUCUCACUCUGAAUCAAGAUGAGACUCAAAAGUUUGAGAUCCAUCCUGCUGCCCGAUCAAGAUGGAUGAACAUCUUCCUUCUUGAUCAAUAAACGAAGAAACGAAGAGGGGGCUUGCUCAAUGAAGACCAAAUAACUGUGUCCCCACUGCAGGAGUUAACCCCAUACGGGAUUGAUGUGGGAGAUGCCAAGUAGGGAUGUAACUGUUUUCCAUUAGCUGUUCCUGGAUGAGCAGUGACAGUCCACCACCUGUAUCCAAAUAAUGUUCAUCAGUUUUCCUGAAGUAGAGUAAAGCAUUUUUUGGAUAUAAUUCUUUAAUGAGGUUUAUUUUACUAGGAAAUUGUCAAUAUUUUGGUGGAACUUGCAGAAUAAUAAAAAUAGUUGUAUAUCAUUCUACACAAUAUACCACCUGUGAGAUCAUGUGAGAAUAUAGGAGCAGCAAAGUUUUAAGUUUUACAGCCUCUUACUUAAUAUAUUUUUAAAGAAAAUGUGAUGAAUUUUUCUUUUCACUAAAUGAAUGAUUCUGUAUUACAUAGUGUAAUUUUGUAAACUGAAAUAAAGGGCACUCAUAAAUAUAUAUGUCUUACUUUAUCAUAGAUUGUGUAAUUUUGUAAAUGAAAUAAAGGGCACUCAAAUAUAUAUGUCUUACUUUAUCAUAGAUUGUGUAAUUUUGUAAACUGAAAUAAAGGGCACUCAUAAA